RNAcentral lists this long non-coding RNA (1406 nucleotides) under Phasianus colchicus (ring-necked pheasant). Its description in RNAcentral is "lncRNA (ENSPCLG00000017344.1)". The record is from RNAcentral. Lineage: Eukaryota; Metazoa; Chordata; Aves; Galliformes; Phasianidae.
CCCACCACGACCAAUCACCCUGUGACCCUGCGACCACGUGACCCCACAACCGCAUGACCCAUCCCAACCAAUCACCCCACCCACCGCGUGACCACGUGACCGCACCGCGACCAAUCCCGUCACUCACCCUGCAACCACCUGACCUGGGUGGCCGGCCCGUAGCCCUUGUCGUUCCUGGCGGCGAUGCGGAAGAUGAUGGCGGGUUUGGUGCUGUGGUCGAUGUGGGCGCUGGCCAGGCUGGCCGCCGGCACCAAGCAAGCCGGGUUGGGCCCGCAAUAAACCCGCAUGAAAGCCAUGGGUGCCGCCCCACCCCCACCGCCGCCACCCGAACCCCCGCCCCCCCCCCCCGAACCCCCGAUGGACGACGACGACGUCGACGACGACGACGACGACCCCCCCCCUGCGCUUCCGCUUCCGGUUCCGCUUCCGGUUCCGCCCCCCGCCGGCGUCGCUGCCCCCCCCCCCUGGAUGGCCAAAUAAACGGAAUAUUCCUGAACGCGGCCGGCGGGGGCUGAGGGCGGCUCCCACGUCAGGUGGGCGCCGUCGGGGCUCUGCGAGAGAAAUUGGGGAGGGGGGGGGGGGAGAAAAGGGGGGGUUAGAUGGGCAGCCAUGCGAAAUCUAUGGGGCAGCUAUGGGGCGGAUAUGGGGCAGCUAUGGGGCAGGUAAAGGCAUUGGACAGCAGGGGGCGCUAUGGAGCAGCAAUGGGGGAGCUAUAGGAAAGCUAUGGGGCAGCUAUGGGGCAGGUAAAGGGGAUGGACAGCAGGGGGCGCUAUGGAGCAGCAAUAGAGCCUUUAUAGGAAACCUAUGGGGCGGCUACAGGGCAGCUAUGAGGCAGCUGUGGGGUAUCUAUAGGGCAGCUAUGGGGCAGCUAUGGGGCAGCUAUGGGGCAGCUGUGGGGUAUCUAUAGGGCAGCUAUGGGGUAUCUAUGGGGUAUCUAUGGGGUAUCUAUGGGGCAGCUGUGGGGUAGGGAAAGGGCAGAUUAAGGGCGGGUAAAUGGCAGCUAUUGGACACCAGGGGGCGCUAUGGAGCAGCAAUGCGGCCGCUAUAGGAAACCUAUGGGGCAGCUAUGGGGCAGCUGUGGGGCAGCUAUGGGGCGGCUAUGGGGCAGCUAUGGGGCGGCUAUGGGGUAUCUAUAGGGCAGCUAUGGGGUAUCUAUAGGGCAGCUAUGGGGUAUCUAUGGGGUAUCUAUGGGGCAGCUGUGGAGUAGGGAAAGGGCAGAUUAAGAGUGGGUAAAUGGCAGCUAUUGCACACCAGGGGGCGCUAUGGAGCAGCAAUGGAACUGCUAUAGGAAACCUAUGGGGCAGGGAUGUGGCGGCUAUGGGGCAGCUAUGAGGCAGCUGUGGGGUAUCUAUAGGGCAGCUAUGGGGUAUCUAUGGGGCAACUAUGGGGUAGGGAAAGGGCAGAUU